This 256-nucleotide ribosomal RNA is filed under the name uncultured bacterium. RNAcentral's name for it is "partial 16S ribosomal RNA". It matches the Rfam family "Bacterial small subunit ribosomal RNA", at positions 524 to 776 of the family's 1533-position model. The record is from RNAcentral.
UACGUAGGGUGCGAGCGUUAAUCGGAAUUACUGGGCGUAAAGCGUGCGCAGGCGGUUCGUUGUGUCGGCGGUGAAAGCCCCGGGCUCAACCUGGGGAAUGGCCGUUGAAACUGGCGAACUGGAGUGUGGCAGAGGGGGGUGGAAUUCCGGCGUGUAGCAGUGAAAUGCGUAGAGAUGCGGAGGAACACCGAUGGCGAAGGCAGCCCCCUGGGCUGACACUGACGCCUCAGGCACGAAAGCGUGGGGAGCAAACAGG